GGAUGAAUAUUGGUCAAUGGGCGUAAGCCUGAACCAGCCAAGCCGCGUGAGGGAAGAAGGCCCUAUGGGUCGUAAACCUCUUUUGUCAGGGAACAAAAGCGAGUAUGUAUACUAGUCUGAGUGUACCUGAAGAAAAAGCAUCGGCUAACUCCGUGCCAGCAGCCGCGGUAAUACGGAGGAUGCGAGCGUUAUCCGGAUUUAUUGGGUUUAAAGGGUGCGUAGGCGGCGAUGCAAGUCAGCGGUAAAAGCCCGGGGCUCAACCCCGGCGAGCCGUUGAAACUGCAGUGCUAGAGAAGGCGAGAGGUACGCGGAAUGCGCAGUGUAGCGGUGAAAUGCUUAGAUAUUGCGCAGAACUCCGAUUGCGAAGGCAGCGUACUGGCGCCUGACUGACGCUGAGGCACGAAAGCGUGGGGGAUCGAACAGGAUUAGAUACC
Molecule: ribosomal RNA, 434 nt
Filed under: uncultured bacterium
Lineage: Bacteria
Description: bacterial SSU rRNA
Rfam family: Bacterial small subunit ribosomal RNA
Source: RNAcentral